AGCCAGUGAUGACAAAUCAACAUUUCUGACACCUCGUAUGAGAGCUGCACUGCGGCUCCUGAUUCUAACUCUGGUCUGAGGCUC
Pseudoliparis swirei is the source of this 84-nucleotide small nucleolar RNA. RefSeq annotates it as small nucleolar RNA SNORD60. NCBI's taxonomy places the organism in Eukaryota, Metazoa, Chordata, Actinopteri, Perciformes, Liparidae. The transcript has a single exon. The record is from RefSeq and is a predicted model, not a curated record.